GGGUGUCAGGGCAACCUGACUGUGAUAUCCGUCACCCCACUGACUGCCGGGGUUGAUUUGGCAGGUCUGGCUGGUUGGGGGUGGGGGUGAGGAACAUCCCUUUCCUCCAUGAUUACUCCAUGUGUCUCUCCCAAAGCUGUGUGGUCCUUUGUGGAAGACGGUCAUUCUUCCAUCAAGGGCAUAAGAUUAGUUGCACUGCCCUGCUAGGACCUCCAAACAUGUUUUCAAAGGCAGCUAUUUAAGAGUUAGUCCAGCAAGACAUUUGAGCUGUCUCACUCCCUCAAGACCUGAUGCAGACACCGGCACUU
This is an unclassified non-coding RNA of Cricetulus griseus (Chinese hamster), 308 nucleotides long. Its record names the gene 7SK. It matches the Rfam family "7SK RNA". From Rfam's summary of the family: 7SK was discovered as an abundant small nuclear RNA in the mid-70s but a possible function has only recently been suggested. Two independent studies have found that 7SK RNA binds the CDK9/cyclin T complex (known as elongation factor P-TEFb). P-TEFb activates transcription by phosphorylating the C-terminal domain of RNA polymerase II. NCBI's taxonomy places the organism in Eukaryota, Metazoa, Chordata, Mammalia, Rodentia, Cricetidae. The record is from Ensembl.